GGGCGGUGAGAGCCCUGCCCGGGACCCCUCUUGACAUGAAACAUCCACCGGCACCGAGGGAGCUGCACAGGAGGGAGCAGCCCCAGGGGCUCCAGAACUUCACGUCCAGAGGAGGUGGAGCAGGAGCCGGGCAGGGCUCCGCAGUGCAGCUCACGGCACCGGGUGGGUGCCUGCACAGCCACCGGCGCUGCUCUAACGCCAAUCUUCGGGGAGGAGAACCCGGGGCUGCUCAGCGCAGCGCGGCCCGGCCCCCCGCCCCGGGUCACGGCCGUACCGGGGGGGGGGGGGCAUCGCGGACCCGGCCUCAGGGGCCUCGGACCGAAACCGCGGCCCCGCUGCCGUUCGGAGCCGGGUGUGCGGCACCAGCGGCCGCCGUGAGGGGCGCGGAGCCCCCAGAGCAGAGCCCUGACCCCCCCGCUGAGGGACACGGCUGGGUUCGGGCAGGGAAAGGCGGAUGAAGCAGGAAUAAACAGGGAUAACGGGGCUGGAUGGUCCGGUUCGGGCAGGGAGCAGCUUCCUGCCCUCGUAACCCGGAUACCGGGAAUUCCGCGCAUGCCGGACGGCGGAAGGAGCUGCUCCCCGUGCCUCCCUUCCCCAAGCCCGCAGCCGCCGAUCCCAGCUAACCCCAACCCGGAACGAGGGUGAGGAUGAGUAAGGCUGAGCCCCUUCACCCCCCGCAGGCAGCCGAAGGAGGACGAAGGCUCCAAGGAGGUGUUCAGAGCUCUGCCCCCAUUUAAAUCACCUUCGUCUCAUCGGUGCGGCCACAGACGGGGCUGAACGAGCCCCAAGCCACUCCUGCCCUCGCAGGCUCAGCCUCGCACCAAUCUCUGGUACCAUGGCGAGAUCCAAAGGGUGUUCAGUGUUCAUUAUGGCUCCUUCCCCACGGGCUCCUUUCCAGGGCUGUAUCAACACAAUCCAACACCGGCAUCGUAGAGACAGUGUUUAAUCAAGUUAUAAAAGUGACAUUCUUUCAAAAGGUGCAAAGCUCUUCAUGUCCUGACACGGAAACUACUGAGGCGAGACCUGCAUGGGAAAGAAAAGGUGGUGGUGAGAGCAUCGGGAGGCCCAGGGGAAACCAAGCCCAGACCUCGAGGCCGGGAGGGGAAAGAAUCUGAAGUGUUGGCAAUGAACAAUAAAUCAGAAGAAUGGGUUUGGAGCGAGGCUGAAACUGACCUGAAACCCUCAGAAGGGGAGGAGAGGGUAAGGACACCACCAAUGGAGUGCUCCUACCAUCGAAACCUUCCCAGUUUCAUUUUAAAUCCUAAAAGGAUCCUGUAUGGUUUGGAUGAAACCAUUGGUUUGUGCUUUCAUCUAAUGACAAGGCUUCAGGGCUUUGAGCUUACACCAUGAGAGAUGCCAACCUUGCACUUCUUGCAGAGUACUGCUUUAACAGUGACUCUUCCUCCAUUCAGGCAGGUCCUAUGCAAACACCACUCCACCACUGAACAUUCAGGUAAGCUUUAACCUGCCAGGAGGUGUUAAACAGGAAUCCUUUCAGUCUCUGCCUCACAAAGGGCUCCCGGUGCCACUUGCAGCGGGUUGGGAAGGGAGCCCCAUGCCUGGCCACUGAAGUUCAUCUUUUCAGAUAAAACCAUGUUUUUGUGCUGUCCUGCAGGGCUCAGCAACGUCUGUGUAAGAGCCAAGGGGUUCUGUGCUCACGAGGAACAGAGACAGCCCCCUGAACCCCAUACACCAGCUGCGAGCCCCGGCACCUGCAGCCACACAGGCUGAUGCAUGGCAAUAGACCAAUGCUGCUAGGACCAGGUUCCAGACUGCCCUCAAUUGUUACAGUUUCUCCUGUUGCUGCAGUGAGGACAAGACCCAGAUCUCCCCCACAUUUAGCGUUAUUCCAACCAUGAUGUGCCUGGCUGGCCACAAACGCAUCUCUCCACAAGUCACUCCCGUCUGCUUCUUAAUCCUGAGGCUGGAAGAGAAGCCCUUUCAUCAUCUCUCUGGCUGAAGCCACAUGUGUCCUGGACAUCAAUCACACCAUGAGCUCCUCCAGCUGCUGGUGCUUAACACCAGUGAUUGCUGAAUCACUGAGACCUCACGGCUCUCUGCAGCCACUCUCCAUUUUACCUGGGUACUGUUAAAAACUUGGAUAAAAGCAGCAGCAACAUUAGGAUUAGCUUUAAUGACUGGACUUAUUUCUUCCAGCUUCUGUCCCCCCUCACCCCUCCCAGUGUGUUCUCACUUGCAGGACAAUGAAUGCAUCGAUCCAGUCAUCCUUGCUAGGGUUGUAUGGCUUUGACGGUUUGACAUGGAACAAAAGAAAUCUGACUUCUUGACAUCACGUGCGCACAGAAAACUUGUAAUAGGUAGAACUCUGUCAAAGCUGGAAGUUGAUUUCUGCUUUUUCACAACAUACAAACCAGACAUGACCUAAUAAUGAACGACAUGCAGACCAAAACGUCCCCAGAAUAUGAACCUGUGUGGCUACAGACACCAAAGUGCUUCCAAAGAGUUUAGCCUAGAAGCAUACAUAGCGCCAAAGCUGCCAAAGGUAGUGCAGAAGAUUUAAGCCUCCCAGUGGUAGCAAGCAAUAUAUUUUACAUUGUAACCACCUCGACAUUCCUGCAAUUGCUUCCGAAGCUUCUGGUAGCUUUAGAACAGCGUUUGACUUCAGAAAAAGCACAGUUCUUAAUGCACCCUUCCCUGCUCUUUAACGUAUGCUUUAUGUAGGUUUAUCACAGGUAUACAGUUUAAUGCUCACAGUGUCCCGAGGUUGUGAAGACUCUGUAACAGACAACUACAUGUUGGGAAGCUCAGGCUGGGUUUUGUUUCCCAGAGUCAAUCCAUUAUUGAAUCAUACCGAGGGGCCAGGCACUGGUCCCCCCGUAGUGCUACAUACCGGACUGAGCUCACAUGCAUCUCUCCACGGGGAGCAUCCACAGCACUAGAUUUGAUCCUGCUGGUACAAUGUUAACUUUCAUCCCGGCUCCAAGUUCCAAAAACCUUCAGAUUCUUCACUAUUGUACUAAGUAACAAGGAUAUAUAUCUCUAUUUUAUUUAGGUUAUGUAGUUCUCAAGGAUGUUAUGUGCUCUACCGGGUACAGCGAAUCUUCCUGACAAAGAAACUAAGGAGGGAAAUGAAGAACCAAAAGGUGCCUUUGAAAAUUAGUGAAAAUAUGAUGAUUUCAGGUGCAGCUUUAUGGACAGAAGGCGACAGUAUCUCGAUAUUUGGCAAUCCAACAUUAGUGCUAAUGAAAUCCUUGAUUGUUGACCCAUAGACUUGGUGUUAAAAUUGACUUAGAAAAGCUGGUUUUCACUAUCAACAAAACCAGUGACUGGCUUGGAACGAACUCUAGGAGCUGGAUGUCCAGAUGAGAU
Melopsittacus undulatus (budgerigar) is the source of this 3330-nucleotide long non-coding RNA. The record is from Ensembl. Lineage: Eukaryota; Metazoa; Chordata; Aves; Psittaciformes; Psittaculidae.